Molecule: long non-coding RNA, 495 nt
Organism: Lemur catta (Ring-tailed lemur)
Lineage: Eukaryota; Metazoa; Chordata; Mammalia; Primates; Lemuridae
Exons: 3
Source: RefSeq, a predicted model, not a curated record
AAGUACCUGGCCCAUAGCUGGUGCUCAAACCCAGGUUUCUGUGCGAAACAUGAGAAAUGAGGGUCUUGCAUAUUUCCCAGAUCGUCCUAAACUCCUGGAUGCACGCGAUCCUCCUGCCUCAGCCUCUGGAGUAGCUGGGACUAGAGGCUCACAACACUGUUCUCAACUAGGAUCUAAUCUUUAUUCUUAGUGUUCUAAUUUUUAAUCCUGGGGAUGAAAAUGCCUGCUGCUGGAAGUUGUGCAUGCAGUUUGAAGAGGAAAGUCAUUCUUCUGUGUCCUCUAUCUUCCCACUAUCCUCUGCUGCUUACCCUCCAUCCAAUCUGCAGCUUCUGAGUACAGACUUGUUGGAAUUCUGCCUUGAAGAAUGAUUUCCUUCUACACUGUAGUCCCUUUUGUGUGUAUUCUAGGAUGUGGCUCUUGUCCAUAUGACUUGUCCCCUAUUCUAUUUGUAGUUGCAGGUAUAUAUACUGCAUUUCAUCCAUAUUUAAAUGCACA